UACAGAGGUCCCAAGCGUUGUUCGGAUUCAUUGGGCGUAAAGGGUGCGUAGGCGGCGCGGUAAGUCGGGUGUGAAAUCUCGGGGCUUAACUCCGAAACUGCAUUUGAUACUGCGGUGCUUGAGGACUGGAGAGGAGACUGGAAUUUACGGUGUAGCAGUGAAAUGCGUAGAGAUCGUAAGGAAGACCAGUGGCGAAGGCGGGUCUCUGGACAGUUCCUGACACUGAGGCACGAAGGCCAGGGGAGCAAACGGG
This 253-nucleotide ribosomal RNA is filed under the name uncultured bacterium. RNAcentral's name for it is "partial 16S ribosomal RNA". It matches the Rfam family "Bacterial small subunit ribosomal RNA", at positions 524 to 776 of the family's 1533-position model. The record is from RNAcentral.